CCUGGCGGCGAGUGGCGAACGGGUGAGUAAUACAUCGGAACGUACCCAGAAGUGGGGGAUAACGUAGCGAAAGUUACGCUAAUACCGCAUACGUUCUACGGAAGAAAGUGGGGGACCUUCGGGCCUCAUGCUUUUGGAGCGGCCGAUGUCUGAUUAGCUAGUUGGUNNGGUAAAGGCCUACCAAGGCGACGAUCAGUAGCUGGUCUGAGAGGACGACCAGCCACACUGGGACUGAGACACGGCCCAGACUCCUACGGGAGGCAGCAGUGGGGAAUUUUGGACAAUGGGCGCAAGCCUGAUCCAGCAAUGCCGCGUGAGUGAAGAAGGCCUUCGGGUUGUAAAGCUCUUUUGUCAGGGAAGAAACGGCUGAGGUUAAUACCUUUGGCUAAUGACGGUACCUGAAGAAUAAGCACCGGCUAACUACGUGCCAGCAGCCGCGGUAAUACGUAGGGUGCAAGCGUUAAUCGGAAUUACUGGGCGUAAAGCGUGCGCAGGCGGUUUUGUAAGUCUGACGUGAAAUC
This 521-nucleotide ribosomal RNA is filed under the name uncultured bacterium. Its description in RNAcentral is "bacterial SSU rRNA". It matches the Rfam family "Bacterial small subunit ribosomal RNA", at positions 84 to 601 of the family's 1533-position model. The record is from RNAcentral.